GAGAAAGGCAUAUAAGUCAAUACAUGACAAAUGAAACAAAAGAGAACUCUAAACUUUCUACUAGAGUGAUGUUCUUCAAUUAAUUCAUCAAUCUAUGAACAUACUCGCUUCUAUCAACACUUUCUGACUGAUUAAAAUGGCAAACCAAAUGUGAAAUUCAAGGUGAUCUUCAGAAUCAACAAGGAAUUUAAGAAAACAACAAAGGUCUAACUUUAAUCUCCAAAAACAGACAGAAAAUUGGCGCAUCCACAGCAAAUUUCAAGAUGCAUAGAGAUUUCGACCUCCAAUGACAGGGUAAAAUGGUACAAGCAAAUUGAAUCCUCCACUUAUCUUUUUCCCUAGCCACUAAAUGAAGCAAUUUCUUAUGUCCUUCCCAAUGGGAUGAGUAGUUGACAACAUCUAAUGAACAAGAUGCUCUGACCUAACAAGACUGGGACUGGUAGGCGCAGAAUGAACAUAAGACCUAAGGAGAUGAAGCCUAGCUAAUUUCGAAGAAGACUUACCGGUGAAGAUUAAGAUGUUCCAUUAUCGAGCCAACUAGGAAAUUAAAAGAGUCAAUACCUUGGUACUCAAUGUAAUUCAGUGAAAAGCUAAUUCAUUUUUUACCUUGGCAAGGCCGAUCACCGCAA
Molecule: unclassified non-coding RNA, 629 nt
Filed under: Hevea brasiliensis (rubber tree)
Lineage: Eukaryota; Viridiplantae; Streptophyta; Magnoliopsida; Malpighiales; Euphorbiaceae
Source: RNAcentral